UUUCCUUUAGGGACCUGCGGAAGGAUCAUUG
This 31-nucleotide ribosomal RNA is filed under the name Pulsatilla tongkangensis. RNAcentral's name for it is "partial 18S ribosomal RNA". The record is from RNAcentral. Lineage: Eukaryota; Viridiplantae; Streptophyta; Magnoliopsida; Ranunculales; Ranunculaceae.